This 780-nucleotide ribosomal RNA is filed under the name Bacillus sp. (in: firmicutes). RNAcentral describes it as "bacterial SSU rRNA". It matches the Rfam family "Bacterial small subunit ribosomal RNA", at positions 45 to 795 of the family's 1533-position model. The record is from RNAcentral. Lineage: Bacteria; Bacillati; Bacillota; Bacilli; Caryophanales; Bacillaceae.
UGCCUCAAUACAUGCAAGUCGAGCGAAUGGAUUGAGAGCUUGCUCUCACGAAGUUAGCGGCGGACGGGUGAGUAACACGUGGGUAACCUGCCCAUAAGACCGGGAUAACUUCCGAGGCAAAACGCGAGGGUCUAAUACCGGAUAACAUUUUGAACUGCAUGGCUUCGAAAUUGAAACGGCGGCUUCGGCUGUCACUUAUGGAUGGACCCGCGUCUCACUAGCUAGUUGGUGAAGUAACGGCUCUCCAACGCAUCGAUGCAUAUCCUACCUGAGAGGGCGAUCCGCCAGACUGUCACGAACCCAAAUCCAAGUCUGGAACCCUGGACAGCAGUAUGGAAUCUUCCGCAAUGGACGAAAGUCUGACCGAUCAACGCCUCGUGAGUGAUGAAUGCUGUCGGGUCGUAAAACUCUGUUGUUAGGGAAGAACAAGUGCUAGUUGAAUAAGCUGGCACCUUGACGGUACCUAACCAGAAAGCCACGGCUAACUACCUGCCAGCAGCCGCGGUAAUACGUAGGUGGCAAGCGUUAUCCAGAAUUAUUGCGCGUAAAGCGCGCGCAAGUGGUUUCUUAAGUCUGAUGUGAAAGCCCACGGCUCAACCGUGGAGGGUCAUUGGAAACUGGGAGACUUGAGUGCAGAAGAGGAAAGUGGAAUUCCAUGUGUAGCGGUGAAAUGCGUAUAGAUAUGGAGGAACACCAGUGGCGAAGGCGACUUUCUGGUCUGUAACUGACACUGAGCCAUAAUCAAAGUCUGGAUCCAUGAGAUUAGAUACGCUGGUCGUC